ACAGACCAGAGUCUUCAUAACUGACCCCUGAGAGAAAGUCUUGUGUUGUGCGAAGCUGAAAAGCCGUCUUAUGUUUUGAGUGAAGCUGUACAGCGAUCUCUGGUUAUUUGUGAUUAAAACUCACGUGAACUGUGGAAACCGCUUCCCGCUUCCUUCUUUAUCUGCCUAACAUGAACUUUUGUUACACUGGUGCCAAAACCCAGGAUAAGGAGAAAGGUACGCUGCUAUGGAGUCGUCUUCGCCACUGGAGGAAAUGUUUUGAUCCGUCAUCAUCAUCCACAGGAGCAACACCAGACCCUCAUGGAUCUACGGGCGGAGCAGCAACAGCGCUUCGAGGCGCUCCUUCGAGGCCAAGAGGAGGACCGACGGGCUUUGCGGAGAUUGGGAGUUUGCACGUCGCGACCCUGGCAGCAGCGAACCCCCAAGUGACGCUGGUGAAUAUGGGGGCGCAAGAUGAGCCGGAGGCCUUUUUGGAGCUCUUCGAGUGCAUGGCCCAAGCUCUGGAAUGGCCACGGGUGCAAUGGGCAGUCCACCUCCUACCGCUGCUGACUGGGGAGGCCCAACUCGCGGCCCAACAACUCCUGGUCGACAACCUCCUGCGGUACCCUGAGCUGAAGAAAGCCAUCCUGCAGCAGGUCGGCCACAGUCCUGAAGAGCAUCGCCGGUGGUUCCGAACCCUGACGCUGAGCGAAGUCGGCCACCCGUUUGCCUUCGUUCAACAGCUCUGUGACACCUGCCAGUGGUGGGUGCUGGCCGAGGAGCCCAGUGACGUCGGGGGCGUCAUCGAUCUCGUGGUACUGGAACAAUUCAUCUCCAAACUACCAAAAGGAACUGAGGAGUGGGUCCAGUGCCACCGACCGUCGUCACUGGAUGAAGCAGUGCAGUUGGCGGAGGACCAUUUAGCGGCAUACCCGGGGGCCGGUGAGCCUCUCUCUUUCUCUCUCCUUGUCUUCCCUCCCCCUCCCUUCCUUUCCGACCCAUCCCGUUCCCCUGGAAAAGGUGGAACAGUCCCCCAAGACCAGGAUGGUCCUGUAAUACAGUGGGACGGUGUGGGGUGUGCAAUGUGCUGAUGGGGGAGGCGGAGCCAGGGCCGUCUAUGUCAGCUCCACAUCAGGAUGAUGUAAGGGAGGCUUCCCCAGCCCUUAGAGGAAUUCCCGCAGGGAUUUCCCUCUGGAGCAGACACAAGACUAGACUCUUAAGCACGCGUUAGACCAAGUGAAAGUAAUUGAUGGUCAGUGCCUUCAGCCUUGCAUUGCACUCACAUAUCCGUAUUUCUCAAUUAUAAAUGAUCGGUUGAAUCGAGUGACGCAGGACGCUCAGACAAAAGAGGAUACAACCCAGUUGUUAGUACCAAGGAGCCGUUGGGAAAUGUUGUUCCAGGCGGCUCAUCAUAGUCCAAUGGCGGGUCAUUUGGGACGGGAAAACACUAAACCGUCUCGCAGGGAUGUUAGCUGGUGAUGUGCGACAUGCCGCGAAUGUCAGCUGGUGAAUCUGCUGGUCACUCCAAAAGCGCCAUUGCGCCCUCUUCCAUUGAUCGAGGUUCCCUUUGACAGAGUUGGUAUGGAUCUCGUCGGGCCAUUAGAACAGUCAGCACAUGGGCAUCGCUUUGUUUUGGUUCUGGUGGACUACACAAUGCGAUACCUGGAAGCAGUGCCUCUUCGCAACAUCUCAGCACGUAGGUUUGAGGAGGCACUCUUCAGAAUAAUCUCCCGAGUGGGGAUUCCGAAAGAAAUCCUCACUGACCAGGGAACUACUUUCAUGUCACGUACACUACGUGAGCUGUACGAAUUAUUAGUGAGAGUUGGGGGAGAUGAAAGACGGCCAGUUCACAGAGAGAGGAGAGAGACAGACAGACCAGAGUCUUUGUGUCUGACCCCUGAGAAAGAGUCUUGUGUUGUGUGAAGCUGAAAAGUGGACUGUUUAUUUGAGUGAUGCUGAAAUGCCGUCACUUAUGUUUUAAGUGAAUCUGUACAGCGAUUGCUAGUUAUUUGUGAAUAAAACAGACUCACAUGAACUGUGGAAACCGGUUCCUGCUUCCUCCUUUAUCUGCCCAACCUGAACCUUUUUUACAUUCACAUAUUCUUUACUGAAGUCCAUGAUAUAGAUUUAAGGAUGACGUUAAAGGUACACAAAUAAAUAGAUGGGCAAUGACCCUUCAUAGUGUCACAGUCAGACAAUGAGGAAAGGACAUCAAGUCAGAUCAUUUAAGAUGUUGACUGUCUUUGUG
Molecule: RNA transcript, 2227 nt
Organism: Myxocyprinus asiaticus (Chinese sucker)
Lineage: Eukaryota; Metazoa; Chordata; Actinopteri; Cypriniformes; Catostomidae
Exons: 2
Source: RefSeq, a predicted model, not a curated record